RNAcentral lists this microRNA precursor (106 nucleotides) under Jaculus jaculus (lesser Egyptian jerboa). RNAcentral describes it as "miRNA (ENSJJAG00000000935.1)". The record is from RNAcentral. Lineage: Eukaryota; Metazoa; Chordata; Mammalia; Rodentia; Dipodidae.
GAGCCUUGCUGGAGGAGGUGUAUCACUGGGGGUAGGCUUUGAGGUUUAUUAGCCCAGCUUGUGAGGGCCAGCCAGAUCACCCUCUUGCUGCUUCCUGGCAGCUGCU